This 232-nucleotide ribosomal RNA is filed under the name uncultured bacterium. RNAcentral describes it as "partial 16S ribosomal RNA". It matches the Rfam family "Bacterial small subunit ribosomal RNA", at positions 524 to 754 of the family's 1533-position model. The record is from RNAcentral.
UACGGGGGGGGGCAAGCGUUGUUCGGAAUUAUUGGGCGUAAAGAGCUCGUAGGCGGCCUGUUGCGUCCGCUGUGAAAGCCCGGGGCUUAACCCCGGGUCGGCAGUGGAUACGGGCAGGCUAGAGGUAGGUAGGGGAGAAUGGAAUUCCGGGUGGAGCGGUGAAAUGCGUAGAGAUCCGGAGGAACACCGACGGCGUAGGCGGCGCCCUGGACGACACCUGACGCUGAGGCAC